UACGAAGGGGGCUAGCGUUGCUCGGAAUGACUGGGCGUAAAGGGCGUGUAGGCGGCGGACCGAGUCGGAUGUGAAAUUCCUGGGCUUAACCUGGGGGCUGCAUUCGAGACUGGUUUGCUGGAGUGCGGAAGAGGGUCGUGGAAUUCCCAGUGUAGAGGUGAAAUUCGUAGAUAUUGGGAAGAACACCGGUGGCGAAGGCGGCGACCUGGUCCGUGACUGACGCUGAGGCGCGAAAGCGUGGGGAGCAAACAGG
This 253-nucleotide ribosomal RNA is filed under the name uncultured bacterium. Its description in RNAcentral is "partial 16S ribosomal RNA". It matches the Rfam family "Bacterial small subunit ribosomal RNA", at positions 524 to 776 of the family's 1533-position model. The record is from RNAcentral.